CCUACGGGAGGCAGCAGUGGGGAAUAUUGGGCAAUGGGCGCAAGCCUGACCCAGCAACGCCGCGUGAAGGAAGAAGGCUCUCGGGUUGUAAACUUCCUUUAAGAGGGAAGCGAAGAAGACGGUACCUCUUGAAUAAGCCAUGGCUAACUACGUGCCAGCAGCUGCGGUAAUACGUAGGUGGCAAGCGUUGUCCGGAGUUACUGGGUGUAAAGGGCGUGCAGCCGGGCUGACAUGUCAGAUGUGAAAUCCCGCGGCUCAACCGCGGAACUGCAUUUGAAACUGUCAGUCUUGAGUACCGGAGAGGUCAGCGGAAUGCGUGGUGUAGCGGUGAAAUGCGUAGAUAUAAGGAAGAACACCAGUGGCGAAGGCGGAUGACUGGACGGCAACUGACGGUGAGGCGCGAAAGCGUGGGGAUCAAACAGGAUUAGAUACCCCAGUAGUC
Molecule: ribosomal RNA, 442 nt
Filed under: uncultured bacterium
Lineage: Bacteria
Description: partial 16S ribosomal RNA
Rfam family: Bacterial small subunit ribosomal RNA
Source: RNAcentral